This 189-nucleotide ribosomal RNA is filed under the name Photobacterium iliopiscarium. RNAcentral's name for it is "partial 16S ribosomal RNA". It matches the Rfam family "Bacterial small subunit ribosomal RNA", at positions 1 to 180 of the family's 1533-position model. The record is from RNAcentral. Lineage: Bacteria; Pseudomonadati; Pseudomonadota; Gammaproteobacteria; Vibrionales; Vibrionaceae.
UUAAUUGAAGAGUUUGAUCAUGGCUCAGAUUGAACGCUGGCGGCAGGCCUAACACAUGCAAGUCGAGCGGUAACAGAUUGAUAGCUUGCUAUCAAUGCUGACGAGCGGCGGACGGGUGAGUAAUGCCUGGGAAUAUACCCUGAUGUGGGGGAUAACUAUUGGAAACGAUAGCUAAUACCGCAUAAUCUC